Molecule: long non-coding RNA, 2652 nt
Organism: Humulus lupulus (European hop)
Lineage: Eukaryota; Viridiplantae; Streptophyta; Magnoliopsida; Rosales; Cannabaceae
Exons: 2
Source: RefSeq, a predicted model, not a curated record
AUUUCCCUCUUCCUUCUCUCUAGCUUGGCCAAACUCCUCCUCUCUCUCUCUCUCUCUCUCACUAAAUUUGUUCUCUCGAGCAAUACUCAGCCCACAUACAAUCACAUAUUCCUCACCUUUCUUAAAGAAACCCCUUAGAACUCAAGAGCUUGGUUUUUCAUGCAACUAGGAAGACAAGAGAACUACAAGAGGUAACAUGAACACUCUUGUCUUGUUUUCUUUUAAUUCUUUUAGUUAUUUCAUGGCUGACCAUGUGGUGUUUGGGAGUGUGUGUGUGUGAAUGUUGAGAGCUAGAACAAGUGAGUUUGAGGAGCUAGAGCCAAACCACUACAUCUAGAACUACAAGAGGUAAAAAUGGUAAUGUUUUUAGUUUUUGGUUAAAUAUUGUGUAGCUGAGUUGCAUGUAUAGUUUUGAUAUUUUAAAUCAAUUCUUGGUACUGUAAUUAUAUAUAUUUAGUUGAUGAUCAUGCGUGCAUGCAUAUUUUGUUGAAUGGUUAGAAGAGGAACCAAAUAUUCCUUUAGGUUUCUAUGAUUUUAUGCUGCCAAAUAUUUAGUCUCGACUUCAAAAGGUUCAAAUAAACUCUACAUUUACUUGUUUCCGUAGUUUACUAUCUUUAUUAUGAUUUUUUAGGAAGAGUAGAUACUCAUAGUGUGUAAAAACGUCCAAAAAAGUGCAAUAUUGGCUAAGUUAUGGGAUUUGGAAAAAUGUAGUGUAUUUGAAAAUGGUUUUAAAAACAGUACAUGCAACCAACUUUGGACAACGAGUUCUAUAAAAAAAAUAAAGUAUUUUUUUCACUAAUUUUUUAACUAAACACUCUUGAUAUAUUGGCAAUAAAACUGCUUAAGUUUCAUGGAAGAAUAAUGAAAAUAUUAGGAGUUUUACUUUUCCAAAGUUUAGAAAAAUUAAGGUUAUUAAAAACUAAUGCUCUCUAGGCAAUACAUUUUGUGAACAUUUUUUACCAAGUAAAAAUUAUAUUUUGACCUAAUUUUUCUCAUGGAAAUUUUUCACCAUAUCCUAAUAUGGACCUAAAAAAAAGAUCAAAAUAAUUAGCCAAUUGGAUUUUAUGCUUUAACAAAGUUUAAGAAAAGUCAUGAUUUUAAACUGGACAGUUUCAUUCAACACUUUUUGAAAAUAGUUUUCACUAAGUAAAAUUGUAUAUUUUGGUAUAAAAAUGAAAAAGACACUUCUUGGUAUAGCCAUGUUUGAUUAUGCAAAAGAUGAGAAUUUUUAGUGAUAAGGUCUUUGGGAUAUAACCUUCUAAAGUUAGGAAAUUAUCACAAAACAAAAUAGUUUUGACACUGAGUUAAAAUUUGGGAUUUUCUAGAAAAAGUUAGAUUUUGAUUUAUUUUUAAUGUUAAUAAUUAUGGGCUUAGAUUUUGUAAAAUAAAUAAUUAUUAAAGUUAAUUUGGAUUUAAGAAAUAAUAUUAAUACAAAUUUAAGAAUUUUAUUUAAAUAAAAAAAAAGGAUCCAAAGUCGUAUUUUUUUUAAAGAAAUUAAGGAUAAUUACUUUUUAAUCAAAUGAAAUAUUCUUUUAGUUUUUUAAAAACAUAUUUUAUUAUAUAAUCAUCUUUGAAAUUAUUUUCUCAAUAAAAUAAAAUUGACUUUUUUCUUAAAGAGUUACAAAUUAAUUAAUUCUACAAAAAUUAAUAAGUUUCUUAGUAAAUUAUAAAAAAAAUACAAUUUUGUAAAGUUAACAUGUUUUCAAGAUAUUUAAAUCGACUAGGUUUGAUAGUGGGAAAUGGACAAGAAAAUACACUCAAAGGUCGAUUUUUAAUAACUAGGCCUAAGAUUGGAAUUUUUUCGGGGAACUUAGAAUACCACUUUAUGGUUUAAAUUGAGUAAGGACUUUUAUACCCUUACUAGAUAUUCUUCAAUGAACUUAAUGCCCAAAGUAGUUUAAUCUAACAUAAUUGCCAUAAUUAAUCCGAGUAUACUGUAUGGUAACUACAGUCUUCACUAAAUUGGACGGGACUGUCUGCGGAAGGAUUUUUCCCGUAUGCAGCUAAGGAUGACUUGGGGUCCUAAUGCACUACUUGAGAUAUUUUACGGUCUGGUUCAAGUUCGUGAUAAUUAUUAUAAGGUUCGGUUCAAAUCCGUGACAAUUAUCAUAUGGUCUGAAUCAAGUCCAUGACAUUUGAAAAUUAUUCGGUCUGGUUCAAGUCCGUGAAUAUUAUACGGUCCAGUUCAAGCCCCUGAAAAUUAUUAUACGGUCUGUUUCAAGUUUGUGACAGUUAUUAGAUGGUUCGGUUCAAGUCUAUGACAAUGAUUAUUAUUGGUUCGAUUCAAGUUUGUGACAUUUGGCCCGAAGAUAAGUAUUCUAGUAAACCCUAGGAGUCUCAAUGAGCCAGUGUGAUUUCACGUACCCUUGUAAUAGUGUUAAUGCCCUUGGUGACCCAUUGGUAACCCUCGAGAGUGAUUUAAUGCCCUUGGUCUCCACUAUUGAUUUAUAUGUAUGUUAUUGGGGACAACUUUGGCAACUCCCAUGUUGGUUUUUAGGGUUAGAAAUAUUAUUUUGUAUCUGUUCUGUGGAUUGGUUUUUUGUAAGAUUACGACUAUUCUGUUUAUGUUGUCUGGGUUAGUCUUGAUAUUUUACGAAAGCUUAGGCAUUCUGUAAUUUUUUGCCUAGGGCUUGGAUUUAUUCGGAACCUUAA